AGAGUUUGAUCCUGGCUCAGGAUGAACGCUAGCUACAGGCUUAACACAUGCAAGUCGAGGGGAAACGAUAUUGGAAGCUUGCUUCCGAUAGGCGUCGACCGGCGCACGGGUGAGUAACGCGUAUCCAACCUGCCCACCACUUGGGGAUAACCUUGCGAAAGUAAGACUAAUACCCAAUGAUAUCUCUAGAAGACAUCUGAAAGNGAUUAAAGAUUUAUCGGUGAUGGAUGGGGAUGCGUCUGAUUAGCUUGUUGGCGGGGUAAACGGCCACCAAGGCGACGAUCAGUAGGGGUUCUAAGAGGAAGGUCCCCACAUUGGAACUGAGACACGGUCCAAACUCCUACGGGAGGCA
RNAcentral lists this ribosomal RNA (352 nucleotides) under uncultured bacterium. Its description in RNAcentral is "bacterial SSU rRNA". It matches the Rfam family "Bacterial small subunit ribosomal RNA", at positions 8 to 350 of the family's 1533-position model. The record is from RNAcentral.